GCCCGAAGGUGACCCUCCAGGGUGGGGAU
RNAcentral lists this small RNA (29 nucleotides) under Bombyx mori (domestic silkworm). RNAcentral's name for it is "ovarian small RNA-5317". Lineage: Eukaryota; Metazoa; Arthropoda; Insecta; Lepidoptera; Bombycidae. The record is from RNAcentral.